UACGGGGGGGGCAAGCGUUGUUCGGAAUUACUGGGCGUAAAGCGCGUGUAGGCGGCUUUUCAAGUCAGACGUGAAAGCCCCGGGCUUAACCCGGGAACGACGUUUGAUACUGUUGAGCUAGAGUGUGGAAGGGGCUACUGGAAUUCCUAGUGUAGCGGUGAAAUGCGCAGAUAUUGGGAAGAACACCGGUGGCGAAGGCGGCUCUCUGGACCGAUACUGACGCUGAGGCACGAGAGCGUGGGGAGCGAACUGG
RNAcentral lists this ribosomal RNA (253 nucleotides) under uncultured bacterium. RNAcentral's name for it is "partial 16S ribosomal RNA". It matches the Rfam family "Bacterial small subunit ribosomal RNA", at positions 524 to 776 of the family's 1533-position model. The record is from RNAcentral.